CCGCCGCGAUCUCCGCGCGCAGCGUUACUUGCACGAUUGGCAGCCUUUGCGCGGUCACCGCCACCCUUGGUACUCCCCUUGGCGCGAUCAGAAGUACCCGGACGAUUACCCCGAUCGGCACCCGCCCUAUCACGCGAAGCUGUNACGGUCACCGGCGCGAUCUCCAACGCGGUCACCUGCUCGAUCACCAGCGCGAUCUCCGCCCGGUCGA
RNAcentral lists this unclassified non-coding RNA (211 nucleotides) under Hevea brasiliensis (rubber tree). The record is from RNAcentral. Lineage: Eukaryota; Viridiplantae; Streptophyta; Magnoliopsida; Malpighiales; Euphorbiaceae.